This is a long non-coding RNA of Zingiber officinale, 238 nucleotides long. RefSeq lists it as uncharacterized. The record is from RefSeq and is a predicted model, not a curated record. The transcript has 3 exons. Lineage: Eukaryota; Viridiplantae; Streptophyta; Magnoliopsida; Zingiberales; Zingiberaceae.
CGUGGCGUCGCCACUGGCUUCCUCGCUCUCACCGCCUUCACUCUCGGUUCCUCCGACGGCCCCUCCCUCCCCACAAAUGUCGCCAUUUCGAUAUGCGAUCCGUUUCGGCAAUUUCUGUCUUCGACUUCGUCGAUUUUCUCGCAAGAUUUCACGCUUCCAUUCUCAGUCUUUUCUCCAGAGUUUUUUGCACGGCAUUUUCCAACCGCGUGCCCUCUUCCACCUCUGGAUUCAAGUAAGG